GGGUCAGUAGGUGGUUCGUGCCACCGGUACGUACUGGUCUCACUGAUUCCUCCUUCCUGAAGAACCGUAAUGCCAUUAAUUUGGUGUUGCGGGGAAACAGGACUGUUACUUUGAAAAAAUUAGAGUAUUUAAAGCAAGCUAACGCUUGAAUACAUUAGCAUGGAAUAAUGAAAUAGGACGAUCGAUCCUAUUUUGUUGGUUUCUAGGAUUGACGUA
This 216-nucleotide ribosomal RNA is filed under the name Glomeromycotina sp. Its description in RNAcentral is "partial small subunit ribosomal RNA". The stretch from base 40 to 216 matches the Rfam family "Eukaryotic small subunit ribosomal RNA", at positions 686 to 864 of the family's 1831-position model. Lineage: Eukaryota; Fungi; Glomeromycota. The record is from RNAcentral.